Molecule: ribosomal RNA, 469 nt
Filed under: uncultured organism
Description: partial 16S ribosomal RNA
Rfam family: Bacterial small subunit ribosomal RNA
Source: RNAcentral
ACUCCUGCGGGAGGCAGCAGUGGGGAAUUUUGGACAAUGGGCGAAAGCCUGAUCCAGCCAUGCCGCGUGCAGGAUGAAGGCCUUCGGGUUGUAAACUGCUUUUGUACGGAACGAAACGGCCUUUUCUAAUAAAGAGGGCUAAUGACGGUACCGUAAGAAUAAGCACCGGCUAACUACGUGCCAGCAGCCGCGGUAAUUCGUAGGGUGCAAGCGUUAAUCGGAAUUACUGGGCGUAAAGCGUGCGCAGGCGGUUAUGUAAGACAGUUGUGAAAUCCCCGGGCUCAACCUGGGAACUGCAUCUGUGACUGCAUAGCUAGAGUACGGUAGAGGGGGAUGGAAUUCCGCGUGUAGCAGUGAAAUGCGUAGAUAUGCGGAGGAACACCGAUGGCGAAGGCAAUCCCCUGGACCUGUACUGACGCUCAUGCACGAAAGCGUGGGGAGCAAACAGGAUUAGAAACCCCUGUAGUCC